Lucilia cuprina (Australian sheep blowfly) is the source of this 778-nucleotide long non-coding RNA. RefSeq lists it as uncharacterized. The record is from RefSeq and is a predicted model, not a curated record. The transcript has 5 exons. Lineage: Eukaryota; Metazoa; Arthropoda; Insecta; Diptera; Calliphoridae.
GCAAGAUGUUCAGACAAAACGGGUACAGUGACAGUGAUUUAUUUUUGGUUGUGUUCUGGUAACCCAAAUUGUAAAUAAGAAAAAAAAACAAAAAUAAUUUACAGAAUGCAAAAACAAAAAAAAUAAAAAAAUUAAAAGGAAAUGGAAAGUGCCAAGAAGUGGUGAAGACUGAAAACAGUAAAUGUUUAAUUAAUAAUUUCAAAUUUGGGCUGUUGAAUGACAUAAUCAGGUGGCGGCGACGACGCAUAUUUGGUGGGAUUGUUAAUGAAUGGUGAACAUUUUGAAUCGGAGCGAGUAAUUAAUUAUAUGUCUUACUAACAUUUCCUAUCCUCCACCUUUCUUUUUAUUGUUAUUUGUGUUUUGUUGAGAAAUGGAUCAAACAAAACAACUAAACGAGUACACGAACUUGAUGUGAAAAAUUUGUACUAAGAAAGUAUACGAGGGUUCAAUGAAAAAGUACACAGGGUUCUAGAUUAUUUGAAAAACCUGGUUAAACAUAUUUGUAAAGAAAUCUUUCUCCAUAUCAACUUAAAUACAUGAGCUAGUUAGGAUUAUAUGAUUUUCGGAAGUUUACUUUAUAUGGGAGCUAUUAUCAAUUUCAACUGCCGGGAAAAUCGCAGAUUUGAAUAAAAUAUUUUCGUGAAGCACUAUAUCCCAAAAUGAUUUCCAGAAGAGGAUUUUAUGUAUAUGCUUCAUGAUUUUAACUAACCAUUUAACUAAAGUAUUAUUUGAAAAAAAACAGCUGUUCAUUGUUUAUGUUUUUGAGCGAAAAGUUGGC